GCCCCGAUAGCUCAGCUGGUAGAGCAGCUGUCUCGUAAACAGCAGGUCGAGGGUUCGAAUCCCUCUCGGGGCU
This is a transfer RNA of 73 nucleotides. It matches the Rfam family "tRNA". Rfam says of the family: Transfer RNA (tRNA) molecules are approximately 80 nucleotides in length. Their secondary structure includes four short double-helical elements and three loops (D, anti-codon, and T loops). Further hydrogen bonds mediate the characteristic L-shaped molecular structure. tRNAs have two regions of fundamental functional importance: the anti-codon, which is responsible for specific mRNA codon recognition, and the 3' end, to which the tRNAs corresponding amino acid is attached (by aminoacyl-tRNA synthetases). tRNAs cope with the degeneracy of the genetic code in two manners: having more than one tRNA (with a specific anti-codon) for a particular amino acid; and 'wobble' base-pairing, i.e. permitting non-standard base-pairing at the 3rd anti-codon position.